Molecule: long non-coding RNA, 2478 nt
Organism: Rhincodon typus (whale shark)
Lineage: Eukaryota; Metazoa; Chordata; Chondrichthyes; Orectolobiformes; Rhincodontidae
Exons: 3
Source: RefSeq, a predicted model, not a curated record
GCGAUCCUGAGGAGCAGUCGCUCUUUUCUUCGGCUCCACAAAAUGUAACAAUGAGGCGGAACGGAGGAGGUGCGAGACCGGGUGGUAGACGGGGAGGCUUUCUAAACACUUCGUGGAUGCGGCAGAUCCCGCAUAAAGAAAUUAUCUGUCACAGUUUUACAAAACAGGACAAAUCGAGGCUCCCUCUCAAUGACAGGCCGCGGGUGACAGCCGCCAUCUUUGUAGGAGCAUGUUAGAAGAGGAUUUGCAGAUCGGAAACUCAAACCAAAUGAUACACCAAGAUCUAAGGAAUUGGAAAGGGAGAAUUUGCAGACAGGCAGCUCAAGUCAAAUAUUGGAUCAAGAGCUGCCAGUAACACUCAUUUUUCAGAAAGUUUGAACAUGGAAGGAAGAAGUAUCAGUGAAGAUAAACCAUAUUAUGUGGACAAGCCUUUAGUCUAUUGUUUGGUCUGUUGAGACAUAAAUGCAAUCAAAAUAGGGUCACAACAAUGACAUCAAGCAGCACUUGCUCUGUAAUAUCAUGGUGAUGGAUCUCCAUUUGAGUUAAGCAAGGGCUACUCAGCUCCUGAUCUCCUUACAUUCUUGUUUGCAAACAUGGACCAAGCAGCUGAAUUCUAGUGAGAGUGACUACCCACUAUCUUAAGGCGACAUUUGACAGAGUAUUGUAUCAAGGAACCAGAACAAAGCUAAAGUCAAUUGGAAUCAAUCAAUGUUACUCUUUUGACUGCGAAUUUUGAAAAGAUUGUGUCUUCAGACCUGAGCAGAGUGAAACAAGGUGAAUUUAUUCAAACUUGUACCACAUGUAUGCAGAAGAGGUCUCUAAGUCUAGCUUGGAGACACUCUACCAGUUACAACUCAAAACAGCAUAUUACGAAAUUUUCACGUCAGAAUGGUAGCAUGUAACAUUGGCAUAAAAUGAAUUAUAUGUUACUCGUUUACAGUAAAAACAGGAUGCUGUUUCAUUUCUUACAAAGUUCUGAGUCUUCCAGUUUUGACAGGACUUCCACUUCCAUGUUAUCUUCAGAGCAUCUCUGUCCCCACUCGCUCACAGCACGCAAGCCUUACGUGACUAAGUACCUGUUGAUGGUUCACAGUUAUGUAUAUGCAGUUAAACUACCGGAGCCACAAUAACUGUGUCCUUAUAUGGUUGUAUUUUACUCCUAGCCCUCUACUGUACUGCUUGUCCAAUCUCAUUUCCUACUUGUUCUGUGUUUAAAUGCCCUGCAUCUUUUAUAUUCCCCUUGUACACUCUCUACCCUCCUUACCCUACUUCAUGCUGAUUGGAUAAUAUUGAAUACAAAGGAAGAGGUGUGUGAUUGUACGGGGCCAACCAUUUCAGCUGCAGGAGUUCCUCUGGAUUAGGAUCUAGUCCCAACUACCUUCAGCUGUUUCGUCAAAGACCUUCCCUGCAUCAUAAGGUCAGAAGUGAGAAUGCUUGAUGAUGAUUGCACAAUGCUUAGGAGUAUUUGUGACUCUUCAGAUACUGAAGCAAUCGAUAUAUAAAUGCAGUAUCCUUGGACAACUUUGAAGUUAGCCUGCGACAUGACAAAGAACAUUUGCAUCAACAAGUACCAACAAAUAAUGACCAAAUCUGACAAAUGAGAAUCUAACCAUAAACCAUUGAUAUUCAAUGGUUUUAUCUUCACUGAAUUCCCCCACUAUCGUCAUCCUGGGUGCUAACAUUAAUGAGAAACUGAACUGGACCUGCCAUCUCAAUACUGUACCUACAAAAGAAGGUCAGAAGGGAAGAGAUUCUAUGUCGAUUAACUCAAUUCGUGACUCCCCAAAGCAUUUGCAUCAUCAGGAGUGUAAGAAAACACUCUCCGUUUGCUUGGGUGGAGGCUGCUCCAACAACACUCAAGAAACGUGACAACAUCCAGGUCAGUGCAGUCCACCUAACCUGUGCCCCAUUCAGUACCUUCAGCAUUUACUCCUUUUAUCACUGAGGUACAGUGGCAGCAGAGAGCACCAUCUACAAGAUAUACUGCAGUUAUUCACCCACGCUCCUUUGACUGCCCUUUCCCAGCCGCAAACUACCACCUGGAAGGACAAGAGCAGAAGAUGCGUCAAAACACCACCAUCUGCAAAUUCCGCUCCAAGGUGCAUGACAUCCGGACUUGGAGCAGUAUCAGCGACGAUCCCGUUGAAUGGUGCAGUGGACUUGAUCGACCAAAAAGCCUAUUUCUGCCUUCCAUUUUCUAACAUGAUUUUUUAAAAAGUUGAUUAAUGCAGUACUCAGACUUGUGUUCAGUUCUCUACUUGUUCUCUGGUGUUUGUUGAAGCUCCAGCGUCAUCUCCCUGGUCUUAUAUUUCAGUCUGUGAUCAAGAACCGAAAGUAUCUCAAAACCCUCUCAACCACCUGAUCUUUCUGUCCAACCACCUUAGGAAUCUCUGCAUACGGGAGGUGAUGGUCUAGUGGUAUUAACACUGCCUGUUAGUCCAGAGACCGAGAUAAUGUUCUGGGGACCUGGGUUUGAAU